This 486-nucleotide ribosomal RNA is filed under the name uncultured bacterium. Its description in RNAcentral is "partial 16S ribosomal RNA". It matches the Rfam family "Bacterial small subunit ribosomal RNA", at positions 28 to 507 of the family's 1533-position model. The record is from RNAcentral.
GACGAACGCUGGCGGCGUGCUUAACACAUGCAAGUCGAACGCUGAAGACCUGGCUUUUGUUGGGUUGGAUGAGUGGCGAACGGGUGAGUAACACGUGAGUAACCUGCCCUCUUCUUUGGGAUAACGCCCGGACACGGGUGCUAAUACUGGAUAUUCACUGAUCUUCGCAUGGGGGUUGGUGGAAAGGUUUGUUUUGGUGGGGGAUGGGCUCGCGGCCUAUCAGCUUGUUGGUGGGGUGAUGGCCUACCAAGGCUUUGACGGGUAGCCGGCCUGAGAGGGUGACCGGUCACAUUGGGACUGAGAUACGGCCCAGACUCCUACGGGAGGCAGCAGUGGGGAAUAUUGCACAAUGGGCGAAAGCCUGAUGCAGCGACGCCGCGUGAGGGAUGGAGGCCUUCGGGUUGGAAACCUCUUUCGCUCAUGGUCAAGCCGCAACUGUGGGUUGUGGUGAGGGUAGUGGGUAAAGAAGCGCCGGCUAACUACGUG